RNAcentral lists this unclassified non-coding RNA (352 nucleotides) under soil metagenome. RNAcentral's name for it is "partial contains 5.8S ribosomal RNA, internal transcribed spacer 2, and large subunit ribosomal RNA". The stretch from base 3 to 120 matches the Rfam family "5.8S ribosomal RNA", at positions 37 to 154 of the family's 154-position model. The record is from RNAcentral.
GGUGAAGAACGCAGCGAAAUGCGAUAAGUAAUGCGAAUUGCAGAAUUCAGUGAGUCAUCGAAUCUUUGAACGCACAUUGCGCCCGCCAGUAUUCUGGCGGGCAUGCCUGUUCGAGCGUCAUUACAACCCUCAGGCCCCCGGGCCUGGCGUUGGGGAUCGGCGGAGCCCCCCGUGGGCACACGCCGUCCCCCAAAUGCAGUGGCGGUCCCGCCGCAGCUUCCAUCGCGUAGUAGCUAACACCUCGCGACUGGAGAGCGGCGCGGCCACGCCGUAAAACACCCAACUCUUCUGAAGUUGACCUCGAAUCAGGUAGGAAUACCCGCUGAACUUAAGCAUAUCAAUAAGCGGAGGA